ACGGCAGGACAAGCGGAAUGAAGCCUGAAAUGCACACCCUGUUUUUACAGAUUUUCCUAUGCGGUGCGACUGCCCUGACGCUGGAUCCGGGCCCAUGCUUCCUUGUCCCAAGCAUCGAAGUCCAUCAACUACGCCUACCUGCGUGGCCCGCCGCUGCCUGGGGUGGCUCAACGCAUGCGCAUGGACGAGGAUCCACAGCAGUGACAACGGAGCGCGCAGCCCUUAUAAGCUCAGUCAGCGACGAACUCACCCGUGGGCACGGCAGGACAAGCGGAAUGAAGCCUGAAAUGCACACCCUGUUUUUACAGAUUUUCCUAUGCGGUGCGACUGCCCUGACGCUGGAUCCGGGCCCAUGCUUCCUUGUCCCAAGCAUCGAAGUCCAUCAACUACGCCUACCUGCGUGGCCCGCCGCUGCCUGGGGUGGCUCAACGCAUGCGCAUGGACGAGGAUCCACAGCAGUGACAACGGAGCGCGCAGCCCUUAUAAGCUCAGUCAGCGACGAACUCACCCGUGGGCACGGCAGGACAAGCGGAAUGAAGCCUGAAAUGCACACCCUGUUUUUACAGAUUUUCCUAUGCGGUGCGACUGCCCUGACGCUGGAUCCGGGCCCAUGCUUCCUUGUCCCAAGCAUCGAAGUCCAUCAACUACGCCUACCUGCGUGGCCCGCCGCUGCCUGGGGUGGCUCAACGCAUGCGCAUGGACGAGGAUCCACAGCAGUGACAACGGAGCGCGCAGCCCUUAUAAGCUCAGUCAGCGACGAACUCACCCGUGGGCACGGCAGGACAAGCGGAAUGAAGCCUGAAAUGCACACCCUGUUUUUACAGAUUUUCCUAUGCGGUGCGACUGCCCUGACGCUGGAUCCGGGCCCAUGCUUCCUUGUCCCAAGCAUCGAAGUCCAUCAACUACGCCUACCUGCGUGGCCCGCCGCUGCCUGGGGUGGCUCAACGCAUGCGCAUGGACGAGGAUCCACAGCAGUGACAACGGAGCGCGCAGCCCUUAUAAGCUCAGUCAGCGACGAACUCACCCGUGGGCACGGCAGGACAAGCGGAAUGAAGCCUGAAAUGCACACCCUGUUUUUACAGGUGGGUGCGCUCGGCGGUAGCACUUCUCAACGGACCAAUGAAUGCAGGCUAUCAAGAAAAGCCAUUGCAUCCCACAGGAACUACCAAGGGACGAACACCAUGGACUCUUCGUGGAUGAAAGAACACUAGCACCACAGCAAAGAUGUUUGCCGUGGGUAAAAAAGAAGCAAUAUGCCUGUUGCGGUAUUGUUUGUGACUUGAUAUUAAAGCAGUCCCGCGUACGAAAACAGUUAAUCAAAAGCGCCUUUAAAGAUCGUAUUGUGACGUAGUUUUCGUGGGCUGAAGUAAAGUUGUUUUUUAUAGUAUCAGGAGGCUGUCUGUAGCCUUUUGAAAUAAUAAAAUUAUUUUCAUUGUA
Dermacentor albipictus is the source of this 1437-nucleotide long non-coding RNA. RefSeq lists it as uncharacterized. NCBI's taxonomy places the organism in Eukaryota, Metazoa, Arthropoda, Arachnida, Ixodida, Ixodidae. The record is from RefSeq and is a predicted model, not a curated record.